Molecule: ribosomal RNA, 520 nt
Filed under: Aeromonas hydrophila
Lineage: Bacteria; Pseudomonadati; Pseudomonadota; Gammaproteobacteria; Aeromonadales; Aeromonadaceae
Description: bacterial SSU rRNA
Rfam family: Bacterial small subunit ribosomal RNA
Source: RNAcentral
GGCUACACAUGCAAGUCGAGCGGCAGCGGGAAAGUAGCUUGCUACUUUUGCCGGCGAGCGGCGGACGGGUGAGUAAUGCCUGGGAAAUUGCCCAGGCGAGGGGGAUAACAUUUUGAAACGAUGGCUAAUACCGCAUACGCCCUACGGGGGAAAGCAGGGGACCUUCGGGCCUUGCGCGAUUGGAUGUGCCCAGGUGGGAUUAUCGAGUUGGUGAGGUAAUGUCUCACCAAGGCGACCAUCCCUAGCUGGUCUGACAGGAUGAUCACCCACACUGGAACUGAGAAACGGUCCCGACUCCUACGGGAGGGCGCAGUGGGGAAUAUUGCACAAUGGGGGAAACCCUGAUGCAGCCAUGCCGCGUGUGUGAAGAAGGCCUUCGGGUUGUAAAGCACUUUCAGCGAGGAGGAAAGGUUGAUGCCUAAUACGUAUCAACUGUGACGUUACUCGCAGAAGAAGCACCGGCUAACUCCGUGCCAGCAGCCGCGGUAAUACGGAGGGUGCAAGCGUUCGCGUUGCAUCA